UUAUAUCUGUAUUCGGAGACUGUAGUUUGUACUUGCGAUUUUGAGUUUGACUGUUCGAGGAAGAUCUUUGUUUUCUGGUUCAAACUUGCUUGGUUUGCUGUGGAUGGUGUAAAUCCAAUUCCAAUAAGAUAAUCUUAGGAUCUAGAUUGUCUCCAAUUUUGCAAGUGGAAUUGUUAUUAUCUUGGCUGGUGAGGUUUUCCAAAUAUGGAUGAAGAGAAUAAAAAAGGUGCAGAUAUUGAAAUAAAGGUUUUGUUCUUUGCAAGAGCUCGAGAUUUAGCUGGCGGCGUGUCCGAAAUGAUGCUACCAGUUCCAUCCGGAAGUACAGCUCAAGACUGUCUAAGUAAAAUCUUCACCAAGCACCCUCAAUUGGAAGAAAUUCGCGAGUGCAUGGUCCUUGCUCUUAAUUUAGAGUACGCUCCCGAGUCUGCAGUUGUUAAAGACAAAGAUGAAUUGGCCAUCAUUCCUCCAAUUAGUGGUGGCUAGAACAACGUAUUAUAUUUUGGUGCACUUGCAUUUCUUAUCAUCAGUCAUCUUUAUAUAUCUGUAUCACAUGACAAGGACAUAUCAGAAACUCAAGUAUGAAAACAUGUAUGCUGAAAUGUAUCAGAACUCAAGUUUGUGAAAUAUGAAUCAUUUCAUUAGUUUGCAUGACAAUGACACUUUAGUUC
Long non-coding RNA from Papaver somniferum (opium poppy), 668 nucleotides. RefSeq lists it as uncharacterized. The record is from RefSeq and is a predicted model, not a curated record. Lineage: Eukaryota; Viridiplantae; Streptophyta; Magnoliopsida; Ranunculales; Papaveraceae. The transcript has 2 exons.